RNAcentral lists this ribosomal RNA (86 nucleotides) under Bacillus wiedmannii. Lineage: Bacteria; Bacillati; Bacillota; Bacilli; Caryophanales; Bacillaceae. The record is from RNAcentral.
UUCCCAUACCGAACACGGAAGUUAAGCUCUCUAGCGCCGAUGGUAGUUGGGACCUUGUCCCUGUGAGAGUAGGACGUCGCCAAGCA